Molecule: ribosomal RNA, 497 nt
Filed under: uncultured bacterium
Lineage: Bacteria
Description: partial 16S ribosomal RNA
Rfam family: Bacterial small subunit ribosomal RNA
Source: RNAcentral
GACGAACGCUGGCGGCGUGCCUAGUACAUGCAAGUUGAGCGCUGAAGGCUGGUACUUGUACCAACUGGAUGAGCAGCGAACGGGUGAGUAACGCGUGGGGAAUCUGCCUUUGAGCGGGGGACAACAUUUGGAAACGAAUGCUAAUACCGCAUAAAAACUUUAAACACAAGUUUUAAGUUUGAAAGAUGCAAUUGCAUCACUCAAAGAUGAUCCCGCGUUGUAUUAGCUAGUUGGUGAGGUAAAGGCUCACCAAGGCGAUGAUACAUAGCCGACCUGAGAGGGUGAUCGGCCACAUUGGGACUGAGACACGGCCCAAACUCCUACGGGAGGCAGCAGUAGGGAAUCUUCGGCAAUGGACGAAAGUCUGACCGAGCAACGCCGCGUGAGUGAAGAAGGGUUUCGGAUCGUAAAACUCUGUUGGUAGAGAAGAACGUUGGUGAGAGUGGAAAGCUCAUCAAGUGACGGUAACUACCCAGAAAGGGACGGCUAACUACGUG